RNAcentral lists this ribosomal RNA (251 nucleotides) under uncultured prokaryote. RNAcentral describes it as "partial 16S rRNA". It matches the Rfam family "Bacterial small subunit ribosomal RNA", at positions 525 to 775 of the family's 1533-position model. The record is from RNAcentral.
ACGGGGAUGGCGAGCGUUACUCGGAUUUACUGGGUGUAAAGGACAGGCAGGCGGCUUUGCAAGUUGAAGGUUAAAUCCUCUGACUCAAUCAGAGACAUGCCUUCAAAACUACAUUGCUUGAGGAUUUGAGAGGAGAGCGGAAUUCCCGGUGUAAGGGUGAAAUCUGUAAAUCUCGGGAGGAACACCUGUGGCGAAGGCGGCUAUCUGUAACAUCCCUGACGUUGAGCUUUGAAAGCUAGUGUAGUGAACAG